GACGAACGCUGGCGGCGUGCCUAAUACAUGCAAGUAGAACGCUGAAGAGAGGAGCUUGCUCUUCUUGGAUGAGUUGCGAACGGGUGAGUAACGCGUAGGUAACCUGCCUUGUAGCGGGGGAUAACUAUUGGAAACGAUAGCUAAUACCGCAUAACAAUGGAUGACACAUGUCAUUUAUUUGAAAGGGGCAAUUGCUCCACUACAAGACGGACCUGCGUUGUAUUAGCUAGUAGGUGAGGUAAUGGCUCACCUAGGCGACGAUACAUAGCCGACCUGAGAGGGUGAUCGGCCACACUGGGACUGAGACACGGCCCAGACUCCUACGGGAGGCAGCAGUAGGGAAUCUUCGGCAAUGGGGGCAACCCUGACCGAGCAACGCCGCGUGAGUGAAGAAGGUUUUCGGAUCGUAAAGCUCUGUUGUAAGUCAAGAACGGGUGUGAGAGUGGAAAGUUCACACUGUGACGGUAGCUUACCAGAAAGGGACGGCUAACUACGUGCCAGCAGCCGCGGUAAUACGUAGGUCCCGAGCGUUGUCCGGAUUUAUUGGGCGUAAAGCGAGCGCAGGCGGUUUGAUAAGUCUGAAGUUAAAGGCUGUGGCUCAACCAUAGUUCGCUUUGGAAACUGUCAAACUUGAGUGCAGAAGGGGAGAGUGGAAUUCCAUGUGUAGCGGUGAAAUGCGUAGAUAUAUGGAGGAACACCGGUGGCGAAAGCGGCUCUCUGGUCUGUAACUGACGCUGAGGCUCGAAAGCGUGGGGAGCGAACAGGAUUAGAUACCCUGGUAGUCCACGCCGUAAACGAUGAGUGCUAGGUGUUGGAUCCUUUCCGGGAUUCAGUGCCGCAGCUAACGCAUUAAGCACUCCGCCUGGGGAGUACGACCGCAAGGUUGAAACUCAAAGGAAUUGACGGGGCCCGCACAAGCGGUGGAGCAUGUGGUUUAAUUCGAAGCAACGCGAAGAACCUUACCAGGUCUUGACAUCCCGAUGCUAUUUCUAGAGAUAGAAAGUUACUUCGGUACAUCGGUGACAGGUGGUGCAUGGUUGUCGUCAGCUCGUGUCGUGAGAUGUUGGGUUAAGUCCCGCAACGAGCGCAACCCCUAUUGUUAGUUGCCAUCAUUCAGUUGGGCACUCUAGCGAGGCUGCCGGUAAUAAACCGGAGGAAGGUGGGGAUGACGUCAAAUCAUCAUGCCCCUUAUGACCUGGGCUACACACGUGCUACAAUGGUUGGUACAACGAGUUGCGAGUCGGUGACGGCGAGCUAAUCUCUUAAAGCCAAUCUCAGUUCGGAUUGUAGGCUGCAACUCGCCUACAUGAAGUCGGAAUCGCUAGUAAUCGCGGAUCAGCACGCCGCGGUGAAUACGUUCCCGGGCCU
Molecule: ribosomal RNA, 1368 nt
Filed under: uncultured bacterium
Lineage: Bacteria
Description: bacterial SSU rRNA
Rfam family: Bacterial small subunit ribosomal RNA
Source: RNAcentral